GAUGAACGCUGGCGGCGUGCUUAACACAUGCAAGUCGAACGAAGAUAUUAAGAAUGAGAGCUUCGGCAGGAAUUUUUUCUAUCUUAGUGGCGGACGGGUGAGUAACGUGUGGGCAACCUGCCCUGCACUGGGGAAUAAUCAUUGGAAACGAUGACUAAUACCGCAUACGGUUCCUGGGAGGCAUCUUCUGGGAAAGAAAGGAUUUAUUCGGUGCAGGAUGGGCCCGCAUCUGAUUAGCUAGUUGGUGAGAUAACAGCCCACCAAGGCGACGAUCAGUAGCCGACCUGAGAGGGUGACCGGCCACAUUGGGACUGAGACACGGCCCAA
RNAcentral lists this ribosomal RNA (327 nucleotides) under uncultured bacterium. RNAcentral's name for it is "bacterial SSU rRNA". It matches the Rfam family "Bacterial small subunit ribosomal RNA", at positions 28 to 334 of the family's 1533-position model. The record is from RNAcentral.